UUUUGGAACUCACCGCAUUGUUCAUACUGACUGGAUUCCUCGUGAUGUUGUCAGUCUUGUCGCACAUCGCCGAGUGGAUAUUCGUGAUUGUCACACCGAUGACAAAUUAUUUUUUACAUCAAGUGAACGACCUGAUACUUUUAAUCUUGUACUCGUGGUUGCUCUCAGAUCCUGAUCGUCUUAACGGCCCGGCUAAGUUCCCGUGUGACGGUCGAAAUGUUUCACUGCCAAGAGACUGAUUCCUCGAAUAGCCAACGCCCGAACCUCGACGACAUCGACGAGCUUCUUUCUCCCCCUGAUGAAUUAGAUCUUGAAGAAUACCUGGAGAAUAAUGGACCGAGUGGCGGAUCGAGCUGUUCCUGAAGCAUCGCACGAGUAUAAAUAACCUGGCCAUUAUGCAAAUCGUCGAAUUACACGUCAUACGGUGGUUAUGGUUGGGAUAUAUUUUUCCUGUUACGAAUCUACUGGCUUUCAGCUUUGAAAACAAUCGCAUGACAAUUUUUUGCCUAUGAUCAUAUCACAUGUGCUUUUAAACGAAACUACAAUAUCAUUGUACACCGUCGCACAAUAAUCGACGGCGUCAUUUUUUGACGAAAGUAAAAAACGAUUUUAUUUUCGAA
Neodiprion fabricii is the source of this 620-nucleotide long non-coding RNA. RefSeq lists it as uncharacterized. The record is from RefSeq and is a predicted model, not a curated record. Lineage: Eukaryota; Metazoa; Arthropoda; Insecta; Hymenoptera; Diprionidae. The transcript is spliced from 2 exons.